Molecule: long non-coding RNA, 2462 nt
Filed under: Rattus norvegicus (Norway rat)
Lineage: Eukaryota; Metazoa; Chordata; Mammalia; Rodentia; Muridae
Description: long non-coding RNA NONRATT031513
Source: RNAcentral
CCCCUUCCUGCAGAGAUCUCCAGCUCCUGUCAUCCCACCGUGAACCAGUCCCUGAAUGAAAUAUUCACACCUCAUUCAUACUUCUGGUUUCAGGGUUCAGAACUGUUCAGGGAUGCAGCCAUAACUUUCUCCCAGGAAGAGUGGGAGUGCCUGGAGCCUGUUCAGAGGGAUUUGUACAGAGAUGUGAUGUUGGAGAACUCCAGCCACCUGGUCUCACUGGGUAAAGUGGUGUGGUUAGUUAUCGGGUAUCCUUGGCAUAGCCCUUCCCGGUCAGUUAACCAUUGGGUGUCUUUCAAUUCCGUGUCUGGUUACUUUUGAGCUAACAAAAGGCAGCCAGUUGUUUGAAGCCAUGUUUUCUGCUACUCUUAGGUCACUAUUACAUUUUUUGUUUUGUUUUGUUGUUUGUUUUUUCUUUGUUUUGGCCCUUCCUGCAAUUAUCUCCCUACUCAGUGACAGGUCCCUGGAUCUGAAUUCCAAGGCCUCUCAGUGUAACCACCUGGUGGUUUUCUCUCCUCUUCUCCAGGUCUUGCCAUGUCCAAACCUGAUGUGAUAUCCAUCCUAGAGCAAGGUAAUGAGCCCUGGGUACAGGAAAGGGCCACAGCAGUAGUGCUGGGUUCAGCAUUGGAGUCUGGAUGUGGUACCAAGAUAACGCCCUCCAAGCAACGCACUCAUGAGGAGGACUCCCCACAGUGGGCGACAACAGAAAGCCUUCCAAGCUGCAGUCUUGAGAGCGCAAGUCUCUGAAAUGACUGGGAAGGCAAAGGCCUAUUUGAUAGACAAGCAGGCAAUCCAGCCAGAAACGCCGGGCCAGUGUUAAUCUGUCACCAAGAAAUGCCCGCAUUAAACCAGCACAUGUCUCUUACUUUUUACCAGACAAAGUCCCGUAGGUAUAAAAAACACAGAAGAGACUUCUGUAAAGAGCAGUUCCUUAUUAACCAAGAACUUGGUUACGAAUGAGAAACCCUACAAGUGUAGGCAGUGUGGGAAGGCUUUUAAAUACGGCUUGUGACUAAUCCAGCAUGAGAACAUUCAUUCGGGCAAGAAGCCUUAUGAGUGUUAAGAGUGUGGGAAGGCCUUCAAUUCUGGUUCUAAUUUCAUAGAACACCAGAGAGUUGAUACAGGCGAGAAACCUUAUGCGUGUAAAGACUGUGCUAAAGCCUUCAGUCGAAGGUCUUAGCUCAUUGAGCAUCAGAGAAUCCAUACUGGGGAGAAACCCUAUCAAUGUAAGGAGUGUGGCAAGGCCUUCAAUCGUAUCUUACAUCUCAAAGUACAUCACAGAAUCCAUAGUGGGGAAAGCCCUAUGUGUGUAAAGAGUGUGGGAAGACCUUUAGUCACAGGUCUCAGUUGACUCAACAUCACACUGUUCAUACUGGCAAGAAACUCUUUGAGUGCAAAGAGUGCGGGAAGGCUUUUAAUCAAGGGUCCAUUCUAAUCUAACACCAGAGAAUUCAUACGGGAGAGAAACUACAAGUGUAAGGCAUGUGGCAAGGUGUUUAGAGUGAACUCACAGCUUAAGCAACAUCACAGAAUUCACACUGGAGAGAAGUCGUACCAGUGUAAGGUUUGCAAAAGGGCCUUCAAGCGGGUCUCACAUCUCACAGUACAUUAUAGAAUUCAUAUGGCUGAGAAGCCGUUCGAAUGUGAGGAAUGGGAAAACGCCUUUAGUCACUGCUCACAACUGACUCAACGUCCGAUGAUCCAUUCCGAGGAAAAGCCCUACAAGCAUAAGGGAUGCCGGGAGAGCAUAAAUCAUGAUCCAACAUCCGAGCCCCGAGGCUGCGUGAUAGAGGAACACAUGUGAACAUAGUAAAUGUAGAAAAGCCAGCCCUUGGCACUUACCCACUACUAAUCAUCGGGGAAUUGGUUGGCAAGCAACCACGUGAGUGGAAGUAAUGCAAAGAGCCCAUUAGCUUAGGGUAAUCACAGGUUGUGCAUCUUCAAGGAAGGGUAGAUAAGCACGCUGCACAUGAGACACCACUAUCCCAUUUAUUCUAAAUGAAAAAAUGUGUAUGUUGUCUCCCAACACAAUCCUAGUCGUGGGAUUUUUGCGUUGUUUAAGGUUUGUUGUUUGUUUGUUUUGAGGCAAGGUCUGUCUCUGCAGCCCUAGCUGGCCUGGAGUUUGCUAUGUAAACCAGGCUGACCUGAAACUCAGAGAGAUCUGCCUGCCUCUCCCUUCAGGGUAUAUUAGAUGUGUGUGCCACAACACCCAGUUUUAGCAACAAGGAAAAGAAAGCCAAAUCAUUCUUCAUUUAGUAUUUUUUCAAACUCCAUGAACUGCAAGAAAAAGAAUGGCUUGAUACUUUUACAUGCUAAGAAAGGUAAGAUGAAGCUAUAACUAGGGUGUGGUGGCCCACACCUUGAAUCCUUGGCACUUGGAAGGCAGAAGCAGAAGGUUCUCUGAGUUCUAGCCCAGCUGGCUACACAGUGAGACCCUGUCUCCAAACAAUAACAACAACUCCAUC